Molecule: long non-coding RNA, 10596 nt
Organism: Haemorhous mexicanus (house finch)
Lineage: Eukaryota; Metazoa; Chordata; Aves; Passeriformes; Fringillidae
Exons: 3
Source: RefSeq, a predicted model, not a curated record
GAUGUCUAAAGGAAAGAUGACAGGAGACAGAGGGUUAGAGCUUUGGGUCCAGGAGCCCUGCUGCCCAGUACCCCUUAGAGAGUACCCCUUACAAGGCUGAGAGGUGACAAGGAUCCACUCCCCAACAACCAAAGGUCUUCACAACAACAUUCCCAUUGCACUUGUACCAGCUCCAGGCUAAAUGCAGCUCCUGACACAAAUGGCUUCCCUGGCAGCAGAACUCAGCAGGAGGCUACUGAGGGCCCAGAAGUGACAGUCUGUGUCAAAUUGUCUGGUUUCUGCUCUGCAAACACUCAUCAACCACCUCUGCUGACAGCAAUUAUGUAUUUCCUUGAAUCCUCAUGAGACACCAAGUACCCAAGUGCCCUACCCAAUAUUAAACACCAGGGAAGAUGUGCAGAAUAUCUGGAAAUGGUGUGAAUGGGGAAUGUUUCUGGCUACACAGGCUUGCUGUGAUCUGUGCCUCACCCCUGGCUUUCAGGAGAGCUGAGGUGACCACUGGGGCGGCAGAGGAAACAAAGUAGACAUAGUUUGUAUGAAAAAGAACGCAGGGAUAGCAAAAUAUACAAAAAGGAGCAAGAUCCCAAGGCUGCUUCUGGGCUUUGAAUUGGCUCUUGGAAAUUCUACCAUAAAGCAGCCUCUUUCUCCCUCACACCUAUAGUCCAUUAGCCAAGAACAGUUAUUCAGAUAAACCACAUCUGCCACUGUGGUUUAGGAGCCUAUGAAAUCAGAUUCAUCAAUCAUUCAGUAAUGGUACUCACAGAAAAAAACCCAAAUGCUUCUUGAUCGAGAAAAUCAGAAAUGUUAAUGCUGGAGUUGUGAUUGGCAGCAUCUACAGGUAGCAACACAACUGAGCCUGAUCCAUGAACAAACUUCUGCCUAGUCUUGGAUAACCUGGAGUCCCCCAUAACCCAUGCUUUGGGAAAAGCAGAGCUAGAUCCCCACGCAGAGGCCACAGGAAUAAAAACCAGCUGGCUUUAAAGCAGCUCUCUGCCCCACUGGAAGCUUGCAAAUCUUGCAUAUUUCUAACGCAACUCUUGCUGCAUAUCUUGAUUUUCUCCAUAACAGACUGAGACACAGAGUCAGUGUUUAUUUCAGCAAUUCAUCUGAGUGCUGCAGACACGAAGCCCAGGGCUGAUCUCUUUCCCACCUGGAGUUGUGUAGUGUACAACCUGCAGGAUGGGCAAGCACUUGUACCCUCCCAUCCCCUCCCUAGUGCAGCACCUCAAAAAUCCUCACCUGGAAGGGGGGAAAAAACCACCAAAGCCCUCAGUGGCCAAAGCUCUGGCUGUGUCUAUAGCAGAUCAUUAUGAGAUGACAGACUCCUGCUAACAAGUCUCAGAGCAGCAGGCCUCCUGCAGCGUAGCACAAAAUCUUGCAGGCAUAUAAUAGCCCAGUUAAACCAGACCCACAGAAUGGGUUAAUCCAGAAGCUACCUGUCUGCAAGCUGCUGCUACAGCUGCACUGUGCUUGCACACAAGCCCCAGGAUCCACAGUUUCUAGUAAGCCAGAACAGCAUGCUUCUUCUUUCCAGUCAGAAGUUUUAAGCCAGGAUUACCACUCCAUCUCAAGCUCCUGAGCAAAUAACAACUUAAGACCUUUUCCAGAGGAUUGCCUGGUUUCAUACUGUACAUGCUUAUCCCCAGUGAUUUCCUGGCUGUUUUCUGUCCUCCCAGAAGUGCAGACGUUCCCCAAGAGCAGAAGUCCCCUCUCGGUGCCCGGCCCGGGGCACAGCGGCUGGGCUGCGCUAUCGUGCUCUGCACGGCCCUCUCCCAGCAACCGCAGCAUCCGCUGAUCCUGCCCCAGCAGGGAACGGAUUCUCCUGCCACUGCCGCGGGCCCCACUCAGACGGAAAGGAAGAAGAAAGGCCCCGCACUGGCUGUGGUUUGGGGCGAUGUUUAACUGUCCCAAAGGCGGCCGGGCCGGGCCGGAGGUGAGCUCAUUGCCCGUGAGCCUGCGGCUCCGCUGAUGUCAGCGCUCAGCUCCGUGGCAGGAAGUGAUACGGGAGCAGGAGCCCCAGAGGAAACUGAAUUGAGCAACUGAGGUUAACUCCUCUGGCAUUUAAUAAUGUGGCAUUUCCAGGGACUUUCUAAGAACCCGGGCUGGGCUGCACACCAAAGGCAGGAGGGAGCUGCUCUGCUGCCACAUGGCAAACCAGGCAACAUCUGCCUGCCCUGGGCUUCUGGCCCCUUCCAUCCCCAGGGAAAACAUUUCAUAAAGAGCUUCCUACAAGACUCCCUGAAGGUAGGACAUAGAUGCACUCAUGUUUCCCUGGAAUCUACCUCAGAAACAGUCCUGAAUGGUAUAGAGUCAGAUUUUGUAUUUUUGCAGGGUUCAGGUGAGGUUGGGGCUCUGGGUGGUGCAUCUAUACAUUCCUACAACAGCAGUAACAGUUAUCUGGCAUCUCAUCUCAGAGAACCUUGGAUAAAUUGGAGCCUUCCACAGAAACUGGCCAAUGCCAUCAUUGUCUGUGCUGCUGAAGCACCUCUGCCAGUGCCAGCCACUGCCAGAGAGCUCUGCCUUACAGUACAAGCCAGGAAGGAGAGAGGAAGACCAUCCAGGAAGCAUUCUGGAGUUAAUCCAGAGUACUAACAUGUCCCAAAUACCAAGGGAUCUUCUAUUCAUAAAAUUUCUCAAGUAAAGCAAGACAUUAACAACAGACUGUUUUCACUUUUUACACACCAGCCAGACAAUUUCAUCGAGCUGUACCUGUAGCAGUGAUCAGAACCUCAAAUACUGGACUUCUUGGAAAGACAGACAGAUUUUCUUUCCCUUUCUUUUUUUCUACCUCCACUUCUGGUGAAUUAGUCACAACUGAAUUAGAUGGAAGGAAUGUGCCUGGAAGCCUUCCAAAUGCUCCUCUGUUUAUAGGAUUUACCAGGAAGACUACAGCCAGUGCUUUGUGGUGGUGGAGGAGAAACACUGGGAGGAAACUGCUGAACAGACAGUGGCAACACAGAAGGCUGGGAGAUUUGGAGUCUAGCAACAUUUUGCAGAAAAAAGCCACACCAUGAGACCUGGGACUUCCACCACCAGCUGACCCUUCGUCCAGCAGGGAACACUUGCAGGAGAAAGUCUCAGGAGAGUUUACUGUUGCCAUUUCUGAUAUAAAAGCAAAGAGUCACCAAGGACUUACUUCUGGUAGCUCCACCCAAACACAGUUGGAACUUCAGACCUUUCAUUGAAGGCUACAAGACUGCCUAAGUUCUCCACAAGCUUUAGGAUCGUGAAAACAAGGUUAUCUGUGCCAGCUGGGAAGGGAGAUAUAGAACAAAGGGCAAGUUAAAUCACAGUUGUAACACCAAAAGCCCUGCAGAACUCUAAUUCCACAUGGUGGUUUCUGGAUUAUGAGUGGUCUCUACACUUGACCCAAAAGGCACUGGGUGACAGGAUGAAACAGGCAAAUACAUAACAUUUCUUACAGGAAAAAGGAUGCCCAUUGUCACCACCAUAACCUUUUACCAAUCAGCAAUAUCAGACAGAAAUGAAUGCCAGGAAUUCCUGGCCAACGCUCCUGCUCUUGCUGCAGAAAUCCACUGGUAAAGAACAUAAAUCCAAGGCACCCUCCUGGUACAGAGAUGGCACUAGAAUGGGCACAGGUUGUUUUGUGCAUGGGAAGCCAACAUGUCUGCAUAUCCACUUCCUGCUCUUGAGUGUUGAGGUCUGAUAGGUGCAGACAACUACCUGCACAUGCACUUUCAGAGUCUUUUUAAAACUCAAGUGUUUGUGCAGGUGUGAUCAAGUCACUUUAAUUCAACCAGAGGAGAAGCAUGGCAUGGCCAUGUGAUUGCAAACAGUGAAGUUUCCUUGGCUUGGCAAAUUACUGUGUCCACUGGGCUGUGGCAGUACUCCCUUUUAGUUCAACUCCAAUACAGAGCAAGGCAUUUUGGUUUAAAUCACUGGGAAGGCAGUAUCUUUUCAUUUGGGUGGUUUAAACAAAGGCACUACUCUGCUCAGUGAGGAUAACAGUGCCCAUGCCAGAGCUGAGCUCUGGUAUCUUAACCACAUACAAUUAUACAGUCUUGGAGUGGAAAAUCAUCUGUCUAGACCAUAGAAAAGUACUACCUACGUAGGAAGCUGGUUUUUUCUGAGUGCAGCACUGCUGCAAACACCUAGCCCUGAACUUGUUUCAAACCAUUAAACUGCCAGGGUUUAUCUGAAUGUUUCCGUGAUCCCUCCUUGUCUAAGACCUGGGUGCAAAGAAGAGGCCUGUAACCCACUCAGUAGCAGAAAAUACUUCAGACAAUCCAGCUGAUCCUGUUGGAUGUCCAAGUGUCAGCAUUAGAGCCAAGCCAUGGAGCUCUACAGGACAUUGGCUUGCUCUAGGCUGUUGCAAAAACCACCAACUGGAACAGUUUUACCCACUUGAAAGCGAGAAAAUCCUACAUUUAUCUCAGUGGUCAAUGCAAGUGCUUGGGAGCACUGCCAAAUAAUAUUUAUCAGCCCAGCUGAAGGUUUUAUAACUCAGCUGUGUAAGUUCACAUCACAGAGAACACCCUGAUACAGCAAGCAGCCAGUCUGGGAGUACUCAACUUGCUCUUACACUAUUUCAUUUUUAUUAGUUAUUAGACACAAGUAACAGUUUUGAAACGAGAUGACUUGUGAACUGAACAGAUUUGCUCAUGUGUACAACCCAGCAAGGAGAGGAUCAGCCAAUAUUCCUGUAACCAAACUGGGGCAGCUUGCCAGCACCUGGGCAUCCAGUGCCAGUAGGUUUUGUUGGCAAAAGGGGGAAGAGUAUCCACACACCUGGAGGUCUGAAGAGGGAGAAACUGAAAUGUGAGGAGUUAAGUGUCUGCCCCACCUUCCCCUGUAAGCAGAACCACACACAUAAAUUGCCAGGCUGGCUGGCAAGUUUUAAAAACAUCAUUGCAGAUGAAAGAGGUGUAGGGUGGCUUUACACAUCAUCAAAGCAGCAGCUGACCAGUACAGCUGAGGGGCAGGAUGGCUAUGGAGCCUCUGUUUUGCCCAAUACAACUCAAGUGGCUGCUGCCAAAGCAGGGACAGACUAGAUAGACCAGCGACUUCUGCUGGGAAUAAGCAUGGAGAGGGAAGGCCUUUCCCAGCAGCUCUUAUAAUUAUUGUCUCAAUUUUUUAUUUUUGGACUUCUUGCAGCUGAUCUCUGUCACUUGGCUGAGUCUCAUCAGCUGCCUCACUGCCCUUAGCUCAGCGUUUUUCUUACACCACCAAUUGCAGGAUUACCCUGCAUCACUCUUCUUGGGACUGCAAAAUGCAGUUUUUAUCUGCACUGCCAACUAAUCUUGAACCAAACUGCCAAAAAAGCUGUGUGUGCUGCCCAGACUCCUCAGUUCUAGGGAAGAAAGACAAUCUGAUUUAACUGUUCUCUCUCACCUCAAGCUAAUGCCCCAUGAGAGUAACAGAACUCUAAUUACGCAUGAUGGCUGAGCAAGUUAAAUAAUACCAGCAUUGUAGCUGUGGCAGUCCCUGCUUCCUCAUCUUGCUUAUUAAAAGGUGCUAACAUGACUGCAGCCUCUCCAAUGGCUCCAGAUAGCUGAAUCACUGCAGUUAGGACAUGACUGAGCCAGAAGGGAUGGGGUGGGAAUGCCUUUAUUCCCACAUCCUACUAGUGUUAUGUAGCUGGGAGUGAGCUACCUACACCCAGCUGUGCAGAUAUGGAUCUCUUCUCAGAUAUGGUGCCUCUUCAGCACCCUGGUAAACUCAUUGAAAGGUUACAGAAAAAUUACAAUUACAGUUCAAAAUUAGCAGUAAUAUACCAAGCACAGCAGUUGGCAGGUUUUUUUUUUCUACCAGAACUGUUUCCAGAACAGGCUGAAAUGAAGAACACACAUGUAGGUCAGUGCUUGCCUUACAAGGCCAAGAUCUCACCUGGGAACUUCAAGAGCUAAAGCAAAACCACCAACCCAUUACUCUAGCUCUAGCCUGUGUUAUUGACCCUGCACCUUCCCUGACAUCACUUCACAACUUAAAAAAAGUAAUAAGGGGAUUAAAAAUAUAUCUCUGAACCUCUAAAUCCCACAGGCCCAGUCCUUCCAUCUAGUCCUCCCAGAAAUCCAAGGCACUUGCUCGGGAACAUAUUGCCAACAAUGGCCACAGUGAGAAAGCAAAGGCCCUGCCCACGGUAUCAGGCUCACUUUAUAACCCAGCACUGUCCCCGCAGGAACCAAUUGCUGCAGCAGGGAGGCUGGAGGCAGCAGAUAAGCCUUAGCUGGGUGAUAGGGAUCAGCUGCCCAGUUAUCAAGGGAGUACAAAAAUCAAAUAGAUUUUGAUUUAGUAGUUACAGCUUUUCAUAUAUUCUGGGAAAAGAAAAGCGAAGGACCAGGGAGGGGGAAGGGGAGUUAGAAGUCUUUUUCCAGGGUGUUAUGAUGUCAGAUCUUUUUAGCAAUGAAUUUCUAGGUUAAGCAGUUACUGAGACAUGUGGCUGCAGAGAACUGCAGUCAGCACAGGCGUUUGUAGGAGGAAACUGAAAGCAGUGGAAGAAAGGCAAAGGAUCGCACAUCUGAGGGCUGCAAACGCUGCCUGAAGGAAGCAAGACAGUAUAACCGAGUCAUUCCCAGCAGGCACGAAAACAAAGAACAGCAGCACUGCACCCUCACAGAGCCACUUCCCAGUGUUACAAUUCAUCUGUCCCAUCUGGGGUAGGAAGUUCACUUAGGCCUUCUCUCAGAUGUGACCCAAGCUUUGGGCUGCAGUGCCAACUACAUCCACUGCUCCAUGCCAAGUGUCCGGCUCCACAACUCUGUGAUGGGGGCAGAUCAUCACCAGUGGAUUAGACCAACAAACAUCAGCAGUGUCGCUGUUUUAAGUCCAAAGGAGAGCAGAUGAAGGUAAACACACUGAAUUUCAGUACCAGCAAUAGAAUACCCAAUGAGCCAGGCAGAGCUCAGUGGACAAAGCAGCAGAAGCAAAGAUGAACCUUUGAUUGCAUAAAAUUUGACCCAGUAAAGCUUGGCAUUCAGGUACAAUUCUGCUGUCACAAACACGGCUAUGACAAGGGCUACAUUUGUAAAUCUCCAUCUAUUCACCAAAUAUUAGCACUUCUGGCAUAAGCUUCUAGUCAGAAGUUUUGGAAGCCGCAGCCAUUUCAAGAGAAAUCUUUCACACAGCAUAUAAAAAGUAUUCUUUAACACAUAAUGGCUUGCGAUUAGGCUUACAACCAAAAACUACAGGAAUUUAAUUCAGAAUUUUCCCUGAUAUCAUAGGAUCAAGCACAUAGAGAGAAAGCCAGACCUCUGGAUCCAUUCUUGUGGCACCUUGAAAGUGCCAGCAGGGCACCGUAACUCCUGCUCUCAGCCCCCAGAGCCUGCUCAGCACCUGGGAACAGCAUCCGGCCCCUCUGGGCAGUGCCAAGCACCAAUAGCACAAGAACCUGACUGAACCCAGAUAGGCACAAACAGGGGGACAGUGUUUCUACCACACUGCAAGUGAGACUCAUGGAGGGACCUGAGCCAGUCUUCAUCCUCAGGGAGCUACACACUGCAUUUGUGCUUCUGUAAGCUGCUUCCCAGCUCCAUCUCCAUCCCUGUUAAUUACUGUCGCAGCAGGAGAGUUUCUGGCAUUUCAAAGAAUGGCCCUUGUUAUUAAGCAGGAAAACAGGCAGAAUAGCAGGCAGCUCUACACACAAGGAAACUGUAAGAGAUGCUCUCUUCUUCCUGCAUGGCACAAUUCAUUUGUUUCCCUUGGUUAAAGCAGGAGGAAAGGUGGAAAAGCUGCUCUAACUGGUAGGGAGCUCCCAGCCUCCAGCCAGUCUGCUGGGAGAGGCUGAUGGGGCUGGGAUGUACUGGCAGUAGUAAAUCCCAGCCCCACAGUGUCAGGCAUCCUAGCUCUGACAUUCCUGGCAGGAAACUGUGCAGGACCACCGACUGCAAGUAGUUUGGAUUGAGCCUUCCAGCCCCUCUGCCCUGUGGCAGGCCCUCUUGGUGGGCAUCUGGCAAGAACUCCACAUAAUUGUAGUUAUUCUGCAUCUAGUUGCUUCUGUGGGCAUCUCUAGUUCAAUUUCAGAUACGUCUGCUAUUGAAGCAAGCCUUAACUCUGGUGUUGGCUGGGAUCUUACAUAAAUUUGGCUUUUGAAAUAAUUGGUCCUCCCUCAAUCAGCUGAAUAAGACCAUCACAUCCUUCUGCAGAUAAAUUACUCUUUUCAGUUAGGACCUGCUUCCUGGCAACCUUGCUGGACUCAGAUUUUAAAUACUUCCUAUUGAACAAAACAGGUUAUUUAAAUGGGGGAAAAGAUGUAAAAAGCACAGCUCGCUCUCUCCAGCUGAUUGUCUUUGGAAACAGGACUGGAGGCUGCUGUCCCAGAAGACUGAGCUGCCCUUAUCUCAGGCACUCUGUUAAAAGACUUGGAAUCACUUAUUAAUUUAGUGAAAGCCCCUUAAUUUUGAUCUUUUGUCUGCAUUAAUUGAUUUGCUAUCAAUAACCUGCAUUGAUUAGACCUCCAGACCUGGCAGCCGCUGAAGAUGAAGAGACAGAGACUCUUUCAGAGCAGGAGUUCAAAGCCUGAAAUGAUUAAAAAAGACAGCACCAAAACGGCUGAUAACAAAAAGGUGUCAUUCUUUUUCCAUUCAAGUAUGAAACUCAGGGCAGUUAACCCUUCUGCACCUAAAAACGCUUUCAGGUCUAAGGUAUUUGUAUAACCUAGAGCUAGCUAUUAGAUUUACUCCAUUUUGUCAUUUUAAUUAAAAUAUUAUGGAUGCUCUUAAACACCUGACAGAAUGAGAACCAAGGGAAAAUUUUAUCAGCUUCAGCCACAAAGAGAGCUCGGGGAAAGCAACCUGACCCAGAGAUUGGCUGAGGUGGUGCUCUGGGAUCCCCUCCAGCACACAGCAUUGUAAAGAGUGGUUCACAAAGUCAGAUUUAAUUUGCAGCAGAUCCAAACCAAAUGCAACAGUGAAAUUUAAUAGUCAUCAGUUAAAAUUCUGACAAUAAAGUUUUGAAAGCUGAGAACAGCUUGCUAGUCCAAGAUGCCAGGAAACCAUUAACAAACCAGCUCCCUGUCAGAGUCUGUGCUGGAAUACAGCCCUGGGCUGCUCCCAACUCAGUACCCCCCUGCCUGAGCUACAGCAGGGGCAGGAGCUCUGAAUAUUCACAUACAUUGUUCCUCUCCCAAGAAAACCAAAGGUACUGGCUAGGGAGAGCUCUCAGGCCACCUAAGAGAAGUUGUUUUGGGACAGACACUAGGCAUACAGUGGGAACACCUGAACUACCCUGUAUGCAUCUAGAGGGGAAAAAAAAAAAAAAAAAUCACAGCCAGUGCACACAUCCAAGGAUCCAUGGUCUCAGGUGUCUUUGUCUGGUUCAGAUUCCAAAUCUCCAGUAAUAGCUUGCUAAACAGCACAAGAGCAGCUAUUCACUUUAGCCCAGCAUCUGAAUAAAUCCAGGGGGCUGCUGUCCACCAAAGACACUUAACUUUUGUUUGAGACAUCCAUCUACCUUAAGAGCAAGGCAGUGGUAGCAAGUUCUUUUUUCAUCCAAGCCGUGUCAAGAGCUCUGGCCAACCCCAGCUGUGACAGUACAAACCUUAACAGUGCACCUUCCUAUACCUGCAGAUUUCCCUGUCAGCACGCAUUUCUCUAGGAAUAAAGAAUGUAAUUCUCUUACAGGUUGUUUGGUGGCAGCGCAGAGCGUGGCUCAGGUACAGCACAAAGUAAGUGACAGUUCCCACCCUGCAGAACGAGCUUAUCAGCUGCUGCUCCAGAAGAACCUGGCCGGACCACUCCCCCAGCAUCCCACUCAAAUGUAGUAGAAUUCUAACUCAUGGCUCAAACACACCCUGUGUGACAGCUUACAGAGCAGCACAGCCAGUUCACAUCACAGCACUUCUGCACUGGGAAACUGACACAAACACAGAUUGUACAGAGCUUCUGCAUUCCCACUCUGACAAAAGCACACAGCCACUGGGACUCAAAACCCCUUUCUGUGCAUCUCUGCCAACUCUUCCUUAUGUGAAUGUUCUUAAUAUCCCCCUUCUUUAAUAUCCCUCCUCUCUUUUCCUCCCUCUCCUCCCUGCAUACAUUACUUGUGGGUGCUAAAUACCCCUGCAGCUGCAGCCACUCUACACAAGCUGCUGUCCUGCUCUCCUCAGGGGUCUCACAUUUACUGAGUAUGUCCUGCACAUGUCCAGAAAUCCCAGAAAAUUGGACCAGACUCCGAAGUUCUAGCUAUACAAAAUUUCUGGGAGAACAAGGAAUGUGUUGGCAUCCAUGCUCUGGUCUCACACUAUAAGGAGAGGUGAGUUCCUGAGCCCUCAGGCUCACAAACAGCUCUGGAUAUGCCCAAGCACUGCCACACCUGUGUCUGCUGGGAAGGAAGCAUCUUACACAUCACAGGAGAAAUAGUCCACUGAAAUUAAAGAUCCUGUAUUUUCUAAAAAUCCUUUCCUUUUGUAUGGAAAGGCUAUGUCAGCCUUUGUCCUCCACAGACUAAAUGUGAAAAUGAUUGGGACAGUGAAGCACUGGAAUAGAUUGUCCUGGGAAGUUGUAUCUCCAGUUUUUUUUGAACGGGCUAAACAGUCAUCUGUCAAAAAUGGUCUAAGUGUUAAAAACCCUGCCUUGGGGAAUAGAGGAAAAGGAAGAAAUGACCUAAUAAACUUUAUUUUCUGUUUCUGUAAUUUAAAUAGAA